RNAcentral lists this unclassified non-coding RNA (301 nucleotides) under uncultured Pleosporales. RNAcentral's name for it is "sequence contains ITS1". The stretch from base 1 to 105 matches the Rfam family "5.8S ribosomal RNA", at positions 50 to 154 of the family's 154-position model. Lineage: Eukaryota; Fungi; Ascomycota; Dothideomycetes; Pleosporales. The record is from RNAcentral.
GAAAUGCGAAAAGUAGUGUGAAUUGCAGACUUUAGUGAAUCAUCGAAUCUUUGAACGCACAUUGCGCCCCUUGGUAUUCCAUUGGGCAUGCCUGUUCGAGCGUCAUUUACACCCUCAAGCAUUGCUUGAUGUUGGGUGCUUGUCUGCGCCGAUUGCGUAGACUCGCCCUAAAAGCAUUGGCAGCAUCUUGCCAGCCUCUCGCGCAGCACUAUGCGUUCUUUUGGGGCUUUGGCAAGUUAGCAUCCAUCAAGAUCUUCUCCAGUUUGACCUCGAAUCAGGUAGGGAUACCCGCUGAACUUAA